AAUGUCUCAACGGAUAGAUAACUUUGAUCAAUCCUUAGUUGACAUAAUAGUGAUUGAAGUUGAAUUUAAAAGGGAGAAUCAUUGUUCAUCCCCGCAAAUAAGUUCGGAAGGGGAUUGCACUACUAAAAAAUUCGUGUUUAGAGACCCAUUUAGCAACAUAUGUCAUUUUCAAAAAAAAUAUAACCCAAGAGAUUUGAAUCGCCCCAAAUGGCAAAGUGAUAUAAAAAUGAGAAAAUUCCAACUGAAGUGAAAUCAAUGGACAAAGUGAUAUCAAACUGGACAAUGGAAUUUCUCAUUCAAAGCUUCGUUCCCGAUUCACUCAUUCAAAAAACCCUAACCGUUCUUCCAAAUUCCACCGCCGAUUCUCGCCUCAAAAUAGCACUCCUCCUCCGCACCCUCCAAACCACCCUCCUCAACGCUUCCCUCUCCGAAACCUCCCUCGAAAUCCUCGAACACCUCGAAAACCUUUACCACAACGACGCCAUUCCAAUCUUCGAUGCAAUGCGCAGUGCUUACUGCGCUGUUGCGGUUGAAAGCACCGUCAAGUAUCUCGUUGCUUGUCCUGAAGCUCCCUCCGGUGAGUACUAUUCUGCUGUCCGACGUAUCUGGCAUCAAAGGGUUCAUAAAUUGUCGGAGGAGGAGGAGGGACGGAGGAGGAGGAGGAGUGAGCUUUUGUCUGAUGAGUUGGAUCAGUGGAGGCAAGAUGUUGAAGCUGCGCUUUGGAAUGUUAGGGUUUCGGAGAGGCUUGUGGGGUUGAAUACAAGGAGAGAUGCGAUGAAUCAAAUGAACAGGUUUUUGAAGGAAGCAUGGGAAACAAUUGGACUUUCCUAUAUUGAUUCCAUGGAGACGGUUUCUAUUGGGAAUGCUUUGCGCCAUGAACGUGUUUGUGAAAUUGCUUCGGGUAGUGUAGUGUCGAACAAGUGUGAAGGAAAGUUAGAAGGUUUGCGAAAGGAGAAAAUGAACUCUGUUGGUCAUGAUGAGAAUGAGAAUGAGAAUGUGAAUAACAAUGAGAAUGAGAAUGAGGAGAAUGAUAAUGUGAAUGGUGAUGUGGCAACAAUGCGUGAAAAUCAUGGGAAUGAGCAAUUGGAAGAGAGAGUUGGUACUUAUUGUGAUGCAAAUCAGGAAGUGGGUGGGUGUGAUUCCUCAAAGGGAGAUAAAGAAAUCCGGAAAGACAAUCAUCAACUCAAACGCAAGCACUCUGCAAUUCAAACAUACCAUACAGGAGUUAGAAUCUCUGAUGCUGAAGAAGCGUCUGAGGAAGCGAAAAAAACAAAUUUGUCAUUUAAAUUUGAAAACUUGCCGAGUGCUGAAGUAGAGAAAGUUUGGGAAUCCCUUAGAUCAAGUUCUAUAGAGGUAAAAGCAAUGGUCAAGGAUCCUCUUCCUGAUGCAUUGCAUGCAUCUGAAAUUGUAAGAUCCAAAUUGGCUGCAAAAGAUAUAAAUCGCAGGCCACCCGUUGAAAACCAGAGUGGACAUGUAGAUGCACCAGAUUCAACUGAAUGCAAGACUAUUGUACUUUAUCAGCCUAAUGACAUCAAUCUUGGGAAGAAGUCUUCUGUUCAUUGUAGUAGUAGUAGUCGUCGUCUUCUCCCCAAGCUAAUGGAACGAGGAAGUUCUGCUCAUACUUUUGAGUGGGAUGAUUCAAUAGAGAAUAAACCGCACGUAAAACAGCCAAAAAAGAAGAAAAGGAGAUGGACUUCAUUGGAAGAGGAUACACUAAGGGAUGGUGUAAAAAUGUUUGGAGAAGGAAACUGGAGAGAUAUCCGAGAAUUUUACAGAAAAAUAUUCGAAUUUAGAAGUGCUGGUGAUCUGAAGGACAAGUGGAGAAAUUUGAUUCGGUGACACAACAUUGACGUGUACAUAUCCUUUGUUGUUGAUUUUCAAAACAAAGGUAUAUUAUCAUGCAAUGGCUAAUGCAGCAAUUGUGAUUGGGUUUGAUGAUUUUAUUGCAGAUGCAUUUGUGAGGACGAUUUUCCAAAUAAUACUCACCAUAGGGUGGUUGCAGUCUCUGUGAGCAAUUAUACUCUAAAGCAUGAAUAUACAUGAUUGAUCAUUGUUGGUGGGAGGAUAAAAUUGCUACCACAUGUAUGUUGCACUCCUGGUUUCUUGGUUUGUUAUUCUUUUUUGACAAGUGAUCUAUAUGCUAAUUGAUCCAUAGAAUAGAUUGACCAUUCCUAUAUUACCAAUUGUGUGAUUCCUGAUUUGCUCUGUUUUUAUUGUAAUUUUUUUAUAAAAUCUUUGAUUAAGCAGAGCUUAUGUAAUUAGAAUUUUGAUAUAUAUUGGAAAUGACUUCAAUGUA
Molecule: RNA transcript, 2296 nt
Organism: Trifolium pratense (red clover)
Lineage: Eukaryota; Viridiplantae; Streptophyta; Magnoliopsida; Fabales; Fabaceae
Exons: 6
Source: RefSeq, a predicted model, not a curated record